AGUGAACGCUGGCGGCAGGCCUAACACAUGCAAGUCGAGCGGCAGCGCGGGGCAACCUGGCGGCGAGCGGCGGACGGGUGAGGAAUACAUCGGAAUCUACCCUGUCGUGGGGGAUAACGUAGGGAAACUUACGCUAAUACCGCAUACGAACUGAGGUUGAAAGCGGCGGACCGCAAGGCGUCGCGCGAUUGGAUGAGCCGAUGUCCGAUUAGCUAGUUGGCGGGGUAAAGGCCCACCAAGGCGACGAUCGGUAGCUGGUCUGAGAGGACGACCAGCCACACUGGAACUGAGACACGGUCCAGACUCCUACGGGAGGCAGCAGUGGGGAAUAUUGGACAAUGGGCGCAAGCCUGAUCCAGCCAUGCCGCGUGGGUGAAGAAGGCCUUCGGGUUGUAAAGCCCUUUUGUCCGGAAAGAAAUCCUAUCGGUUAAUACCCGGUGGGGAUGACGGUACCGGAAGAAUAAGCACCGGCUAACUUCGUGCCAGCCGCCGCGGUAA
RNAcentral lists this ribosomal RNA (498 nucleotides) under uncultured bacterium. RNAcentral describes it as "partial 16S ribosomal RNA". It matches the Rfam family "Bacterial small subunit ribosomal RNA", at positions 29 to 523 of the family's 1533-position model. The record is from RNAcentral.